UACGGAGGGUGCAAGCGUUAUUCGGAAUUACUGGGCGUAAAGCGUGCGUAGACGGUUGCGUAAGUCAGCUGUGAAAGCCCCGGGCUCAACCUGGGAAUUGCAUUUGAGACUGCGUAGCUAGGGUGCGGAAGAGGGAAGCGGAAUUUCCGGUGUAGCGGUGAAAUGCGUAGAUAUCGGAAGGAACACCAGUGGCGAAAGCGGCUUCCUGGUCCAGCACCGACGUUCAGGCACGAAAGCGUGGGGAGCAAACAGG
This 253-nucleotide ribosomal RNA is filed under the name uncultured bacterium. RNAcentral describes it as "partial 16S ribosomal RNA". It matches the Rfam family "Bacterial small subunit ribosomal RNA", at positions 524 to 776 of the family's 1533-position model. The record is from RNAcentral.